Non-coding RNA from Pelobates cultripes (western spadefoot toad), 243 nucleotides. The record is from the annotation of a GenBank genome assembly. NCBI's taxonomy places the organism in Eukaryota, Metazoa, Chordata, Amphibia, Anura, Pelobatidae.
GAUACAUGACUUAUUGUGAUUUCUGGAACGUAGCGCUAUAAAUAAAGUUUACAGAGGUUUUCGUGGUAGAUAUAUUCAGGGUACGUCCGUUAAGUUAUUAGAUUUGACUAUAAAUUGUUUUGCUGGGGGCUCUUCUUAUCUGUGAUGAACAUGUGAUUGACAAAUGUUUUCCACUGACAAUACAGACCUCACACCAAAAUGAAACGGCUGUGACUCACAGUAUGUCCAGCUGGCAUUGUGUUU